AUUGAACGCUGGCGGCAGGCCUAACACAUGCAAGUCGAGCGGAUGAAGGGAGCUUGCUCCUGGAUUCAGCGGCGGACGGGUGAGUAAUGCCUAGGAAUCUGCUUGGCAGUGGGGGAUAACGUCCGGAAACGGGCGCUAAUACUGCAUACGUCCUGCGGGAGAAAGUGGGGGAUCUUUGGACCUCACGCUAUCAGAUGAGCCUAGGUCGGAUUAGCUAGUUGGUGGGGUAAAGGGCUACCAAGGCGACGAUCCGUAACUGGUCUGAUAGGAUGAUCAGUCACACUGGAACGUAGACACGGUCCAUAGGCCUACGGGAGGCAGCAGUGGGGAAUAUUGGACAAUGGGCGAAAGCCUGAUCCAGCCAUGCCGCGUGUGUGAAGAAGGUCUUCGGAUUGUAAAGCACUUUAUGUUGGGAGGAAGGGCAGUAGGUUAAUACCUUGCUGGUUUGACGUUACCAACAGAAUAAGCACCGGCUAACUUCGUG
This 484-nucleotide ribosomal RNA is filed under the name uncultured bacterium. Its description in RNAcentral is "partial 16S ribosomal RNA". It matches the Rfam family "Bacterial small subunit ribosomal RNA", at positions 30 to 507 of the family's 1533-position model. The record is from RNAcentral.